RNAcentral lists this ribosomal RNA (301 nucleotides) under uncultured bacterium. Its description in RNAcentral is "partial 16S ribosomal RNA". It matches the Rfam family "Bacterial small subunit ribosomal RNA", at positions 509 to 807 of the family's 1533-position model. The record is from RNAcentral.
CAGCCGCCGCGGGAAUACGAAGGGUGCAAGCGUUACUCGGAAUUACUGGGCGUAAAGCGUGCGUAGGUGGUUGUUUAAGUCUGCUGUGAAAGCCCUGGGCUCAACCUGGGAAUUGCAGUGGAUACUGGGCAACUAGAGUAAGGUAGAGGAUAGUGGAAUUUCCGGUGUAGCAGUGAAAUGCGUAGAGAUCGGAAGGAACAUCUGUGGCGAAGGCGACUAUCUGGGCCAUUACUGACACUGAGGCACGAAAGCGUGGGGAGCAAACAGGAUUAGAUACCCGAGUAGUCCCUGUCUCUUAUAC